Small nucleolar RNA from Tachyglossus aculeatus (Australian echidna), 138 nucleotides. NCBI's taxonomy places the organism in Eukaryota, Metazoa, Chordata, Mammalia, Monotremata, Tachyglossidae. The record is from RefSeq and is a predicted model, not a curated record.
CCCCUCUCGGGGUCACACCUGGAGAGUUUCCAGUACUCUACCAGUCUCAACUACGGGAGGGAGAGUCAAGCAGAGGCCUACCCAUUCCGUUCCUUGCUUGGGCGGUAGCUAGCAAGUUGAAGGCAAUCUGCUACAAGU